This 1970-nucleotide long non-coding RNA is filed under the name Nicotiana benthamiana. Its description in RNAcentral is "long non-coding RNA (NBEN_LNC021669)". The record is from RNAcentral. Lineage: Eukaryota; Viridiplantae; Streptophyta; Magnoliopsida; Solanales; Solanaceae.
AACUAAUAUUUAAAAGAAAUAAAUUAUAUCUAGAUUAAAACCCACACAGCUAUAUGAAUAAACCAUUAAUUAUUUACAACUAUUUAAAAACUAAAAUCAACCUUAAUUAUUAAUGCUUAUUCGAAAGUUUAUUAAAUCUAAACGCUAAACCAUCUUGCUUGAACUCAAAUCAUGCCUAUUAAAUUAAUAUUAUCCCUUGCUACAUCUUGAUCCUACAAAAUUAAUAACCAACUAUAUUUUCCUAAUACUUGCGGAUCUUUGUUGCUAACAAGAUUCAAAAAUCACUAAUUUCAAAUUACUUCUAUUCCAAUAUUCGCAAGUUCAGAGCUAGAUCUUACCAACCAAUUAAGUUAAGUCGAUUCUCCAUAUUAGCUAUUUCCAAUUUGAAUUGAAGGUGAUUCUGAAUUACCUUAUAUAUGUAAAAGACGACUAAGGAUGUAAAAGACUACUAAGGAUGAAAUCUGGUUAUCGAUCUACUAACUACAUGUUCAUUCCUACAAAUCACAUAACUAUACUAAAUAGAUAACUAAACAACUACAAAUUGCAGUUUUAAAAUAAAUAAAAUUUCAGUUAAGUAUAAACUACCUAAUGCAUUUCUGUUGAAUUAUAAACCAAAAAUUACAUAACUAAUUAUCAUUUUUAUCUAUUAAACUAGAGGUAAAAUAUUUCAUAAUAAAAAGUCUUCACAUUUCAACUCAUACUCAACUGCACAGUUACAUCAAUAUUUAACUCAAGUGAAUACCUGGAUUAGAGAAAUAGGACAAGAGAAGAAAAGGAUCAGCAGUAGCAAAGCAACAAUAGCAAAUAGCAACAGCAGUAGCAAUAUGAACACCCAGGGACAUAUUUUAAAACUAAUAGAGAUGAUUCCACAUCCAAUAAACAGAUUCAAAAUAAUCCAACAGCAACACCAAUAUCAGAAACCCAAGGAGGAACCCAAGAAUUCAAUCCGAAAAUCAACAGUACCAAAUGCAAAUCACAGAAGAAGUCAAAGUGUUCUGAUUUUUAGCAGUAAAUAAAGACUUCACUUUCAGUUUUUAAUUAUCAAAGACGGAAUUUUAUGUUCUGAAAUUUUUAUUUGCCUAUAGUAUUGAAAUAUCUAUUCUCUCUAAUUCCACUCCCCUCUUAUAAUUUCUAAUUUAUAAUCAAAGCAAGUCUUUUUCUCCCCUCCCCUUUAAUUAUUAUCCCUACUUUUAUUAUUACCCCACUCAUUUCUUUUACUUUUCAGCUUUUAUUAUUAAAGCAAAAAGUAGUCAAACAUGGACUCCACAGCCCCCCUUUUACUUUAAUAAUUAUGUCUUUCCCCCACAAUGUAUUAAACAAUUCUUUAUUUUUUUCCAAAAAUAUCCCUCUCAAACUAUUAAAAUUACCUUUAUACCCUCAUUUCUUUUAAUCUGCACCAUGAACGUAUCAACUAUAACCAAUUCAAGCCUAACAAUUGACUAAUUAAACACAUGAAACUAAUUUUAGUCAACAAAAUUAAGAUUAACAUGGUCAGAUUCACACCAGAAACUAACUUAACAGAACAAACAAUAGAUUCAAAUCACUUAAACUCAAUCAUCAAUUGUAACUUCAAAUUAAUUCUAACAACAUUAAAAUCAUGAUAAAAGGGUUCAAGUGAUUAAACUAAAAUAUUUCUAUAUUAAAACUUAACAAGAACAAAUGAAUAAAACAAAUUGAAGAAAUAAUCACGAAAUGAUAAGCAACGAACAAGAAAAGAAUCAAACAUAUAACAAUUUCAAAUCCGAGAAUAUCAAACAAAAUACGGACAUAAAUUAAACUUAAACCAACUAACCAGAUCGGAACAACAACAAACUCGAACGGAAAUAAAUAUGUCUGGAAACUUUGAAACCAAAUAACUCGAAUUUGCCCGAAACUUUUUUUGUGUGUUUUUCCGUUUGAUUUUAGGUGAUGAAGCUAGAUGACGAACAUGGUGUUCACGUAUUUGAAUGGGGAGAAGCUGAAGCAGAAAC